RNAcentral lists this ribosomal RNA (228 nucleotides) under uncultured bacterium. Its description in RNAcentral is "partial 16S ribosomal RNA". It matches the Rfam family "Bacterial small subunit ribosomal RNA", at positions 568 to 795 of the family's 1533-position model. The record is from RNAcentral.
UGCGUAGGCGGGCUAAUAAGUAAGUGGUGAAAUCUCUCGGCUCAACCGGGAAACUGCCAUUGAUACUGUUAGUCUUGAGUUCGGUUGAGGUAGGCGGAAUGUGUAAUGUAGCGGUGAAAUGCUUAGAUAUUACACAGAACACCAAUUGCGUAGGCAGCUUACUAGACCGACACUGACGCUGAGGCACGAAAGCGUGGGGAGCGAACAGGAUUAGAUACCCUGGUAGUC